This 390-nucleotide ribosomal RNA is filed under the name uncultured bacterium. RNAcentral describes it as "bacterial SSU rRNA". It matches the Rfam family "Bacterial small subunit ribosomal RNA", at positions 29 to 420 of the family's 1533-position model. The record is from RNAcentral.
AUUGAACGCUGGCGGCAUGCCUUACACAUGCAAGUCGAACGGCAGCACGGGAGCAAUCCUGGUGGCGAGUGGCGAACGGGUGAGUAAUAUAUCGGAACGUGCCCAGUAGUGGGGGAUAACUGCUCGAAAGAGCAGCUAAUACCGCAUACGACCUGAGGGUGAAAGCGGGGGAUCGCAAGACCUCGCGCUAUUGGAGCGGCCGAUAUCAGAUUAGCUAGUUGGUGGGGUAAAGGCCUACCAAGGCAACGAUCUGUAGUUGGUCUGAGAGGACGACCAGCCACACUGGGACUGAGACACGGCCCAGACUCCUACGGGAGGCAGCAGUGGGGAAUUUUGGACAAUGGGCGCAAGCCUGAUCCAGCAAUGCCGCGUGCAGGAAGAAGGCCUCGG